Molecule: unclassified non-coding RNA, 144 nt
Filed under: soil metagenome
Description: partial internal transcribed spacer 1
Source: RNAcentral
CCGAGUUCUAAACUCACAACCCAUUGUGAACAUACACUUGUUGCUUCGGCGGAUCAGCCGCUCCCGGUAAACGGACGGCCCGCCAGAGGACCCUUAAACUCUUGUUUCCUAUGUACUACUCUGAGUAAAUCAUUAAAUAAAUCA